GCCUUCGUGGUGUAGUGGUCAGCAUGCUCGACGCGUAUUCGAGAGGUCCGUGGUUCGAGUCCCGGCGAGGGCA
RNAcentral lists this transfer RNA (73 nucleotides) under Stegodyphus dumicola. RNAcentral's name for it is "tRNA-Thr". It matches the Rfam family "tRNA". From Rfam's summary of the family: Transfer RNA (tRNA) molecules are approximately 80 nucleotides in length. RNAcentral also lists the same sequence under 1 other name. Lineage: Eukaryota; Metazoa; Arthropoda; Arachnida; Araneae; Eresidae. The record is from RNAcentral.